This 691-nucleotide ribosomal RNA is filed under the name Flavobacterium frigidimaris. Its description in RNAcentral is "bacterial SSU rRNA". It matches the Rfam family "Bacterial small subunit ribosomal RNA", at positions 60 to 752 of the family's 1533-position model. The record is from RNAcentral. Lineage: Bacteria; Pseudomonadati; Bacteroidota; Flavobacteriia; Flavobacteriales; Flavobacteriaceae.
AGUCGAGGGGUAUUUAUCUUCGGAUAGAGAGACCGGCGCACGGGUGCGUAACGCGUAUGCAAUCUACCUUUUACAGAGGGAUAGCCCAGAGAAAUUUGGAUUAAUACCUCAUAGUAUAUAGACUCGGCAUCGAGAUUAUAUUAAAGUCACAACGGUAAAAGAUGAGCAUGCGUCCCAUUAGCUAGUUGGUAAGGUAACGGCUUACCAAGGCUACGAUGGGUAGGGGUCCUGAGAGGGAGAUCCCCCACACUGGUACUGAGACACGGACCAGACUCCUACGGGAGGCAGCAGUGAGGAAUAUUGGACAAUGGGCGCAAGCCUGAUCCAGCCAUGCCGCGUGCAGGAUGACGGUCCUAUGGAUUGUAAACUGCUUUUAUACGAGAAGAAACACUACUUCGUGAAGUAGCUUGACGGUAUCGUAAGAAUAAGGAUCGGCUAACUCCGUGCCAGCAGCCGCGGUAAUACGGAGGAUCCAAGCGUUAUCCGGAAUCAUUGGGUUUAAAGGGUCCGUAGGCGGUUUAAUAAGUCAGUGGUGAAAGCCCAUCGCUCAACGGUGGAACGGCCAUUGAUACUGUUAGACUUGAAUUAUUAGGAAGUAACUAGAAUAUGUAGUGUAGCGGUGAAAUGCUUAGAGAUUACAUGGAAUACCAAUUGCGAAGGCAGGUUACUACUAAUUGAUUGACGCUGAUGG